Daphnia pulicaria is the source of this 157-nucleotide long non-coding RNA. RefSeq lists it as uncharacterized. The transcript has 2 exons. NCBI's taxonomy places the organism in Eukaryota, Metazoa, Arthropoda, Branchiopoda, Diplostraca, Daphniidae. The record is from RefSeq and is a predicted model, not a curated record.
CAGAAUCUCCCUAUCUCUCCUCUCAUAGAAUUUUUCGGAAUCUCUAGAAUCUCUCUAGAAUCCCGAAUCUUCGUACACCCAAGUUGUGAGUUGCCAACCCCCGGUUUUCCAUUAAAACCUCAUUUUUUUUUUUUUCAAUACUAAAGACUUGUGAGCC